RNAcentral lists this ribosomal RNA (253 nucleotides) under uncultured bacterium. Its description in RNAcentral is "partial 16S ribosomal RNA". It matches the Rfam family "Bacterial small subunit ribosomal RNA", at positions 524 to 776 of the family's 1533-position model. The record is from RNAcentral.
UACGUAGGGCGCGAGCGUUGUCCGGAAUUAUUGGGCGUAAAGAGCUCGUAGGCGGCUUGUCGCGUCUGCUGUGAAAUCCUGGGGCUUAACUCUGGGCGUGCAGUGGGUACGGGCAGGCUAGAGUGCGGUAGGGGUGAUUGGAAUUCCUGGUGUAGCGGUGGAAUGCGCAGAUAUCAGGAGGAACACCGAUGGCGAAGGCAGGUCACUGGGCCGUUACUGACGCUGAGGAGCGAAAGCAUGGGGAGCGAACAGG